Molecule: long non-coding RNA, 393 nt
Organism: Oncorhynchus tshawytscha (Chinook salmon)
Lineage: Eukaryota; Metazoa; Chordata; Actinopteri; Salmoniformes; Salmonidae
Source: Ensembl
GUAGGACAGGUAUAGAGGGUUUGUCAAAUCCAUGCUUUUGAAACAGGCCAUGCGUUAAAAAUGUAGGGUUGCUUUUCGUUUAUCCCUAAAUGCCUGUUCUGGGGUGAGGGCAGAGGUAGUGGUUUUUAUUUAUACCCAAUGUCUGUUAUAGAGUGGAGGUGGGGUAAUGGUGUUCUGAUAUCUGUUAUAGAGUGGAGGUGGGGUAAUGGUGUCCUGAUGUCUGUUAUAGGGUGGAGGUGGGGUAAUGGUGUUCUGAUGUCUGUUAUAGAGUGGAGGUGGGGUAAUGGUGUUCUGAUGUCUGUUAUAGGGUGGAGGUGGGGUAAUGGUGUUCUGAUGUCUGUUAUAGGGUGGAGGUGGGGUAAUGGUGUUCUGAUGUCUGUUAUAGAAUGGAGG